GAUGAACGCUGGCGGCGUGACUAAUACAUGCAAGUCGAGCGAACAGAUAAGGAGCUUGCUCCUUUGACGUUAGCGGCGGACGGGUGAGUUACACGUGGAUAACCUACCUAUAAGACUGGGAUAACUUCGGGAAACCGGAGCUAAUACCGGAUAACAUAUUGAACCGCAUGGUUCAAUAGUGAAAGGCGGCUUUGCUGUCACUUAUAGAUGGAUCCGCGCCGUAUUAGCUAGUUGGUAAGGUAACGGCUUACCAAGGCAACGAUACGUAGCCGACCUGAGAGGGUGAUCGGCCACGCUGGAACUGAGACACGGUCCAGACUCCUACGGGAGGCAGCAGUAGGGAAUCUUCCGCAAUGGGCGAAAGCCUGACGGAGCAACGCCGCGUGAGUGAUGAAGGUCUUCGGAUCGUAAAACUCUGUUAUCAGGGAAGAACAAAUGUGUAAGUAACUGUGCACAUCUUGACGGUACCUGAUCAGAAAGCCACGGCUAACUACGUG
This 497-nucleotide ribosomal RNA is filed under the name uncultured bacterium. RNAcentral's name for it is "partial 16S ribosomal RNA". It matches the Rfam family "Bacterial small subunit ribosomal RNA", at positions 28 to 507 of the family's 1533-position model. The record is from RNAcentral.